UACGGAAGGGGCUAGCGGUGUUCGGAAUUACUGGGCGUAAAGAGCGCGUAGGCGGCCUACCAAGUUGGGGGUGAAAUCCCGGAGCUCAACUCCGGAACUGCCUUCAAAACUGGUAGGCUCGAGUCCGGAAGAGGGGCGUGGAAUUCCCAGUGUAGAGGUGAAAUUCGUAGAUAUUGGGAAUAACACCGGUGGCGAAGGCGGCGCGCUGGUCCGGUACUGACGCUGAGGCGCGAAAGCGUGGGGAGUAAACAGG
RNAcentral lists this ribosomal RNA (253 nucleotides) under uncultured bacterium. Its description in RNAcentral is "partial 16S ribosomal RNA". It matches the Rfam family "Bacterial small subunit ribosomal RNA", at positions 524 to 776 of the family's 1533-position model. The record is from RNAcentral.